GUGAAAAUGACGAAUCUGCGGAUGCAACAUCUGGAGCACGGGGAGUGGAGUCUGUAAAUAAAUCUAACCACCAAAAACCAGUUAACGUGGAACACCCUGCGUGAAAACGGGGCAGAAACGUGGGGCAGGUCUGUAAAUGUAAAUAUGAAUUGUAACACUUUUCCCAUUUCCAUAAUCUGCUGAUAUGAUAUGAUUGGGCUGUUAAACCUACAGGGGAACUACGAACAUUAUGGUGUUGUACUAUCGAGUUGUCUUGCAUGAAGACCACAGAUAAGCGCCAUAAAUCAAACUCAUGUCAGGUCUAAUGGGUCGAAGUGCGUUUAAGGUUCGCUUACAUUACCCUUUCUAAAAUCUGUUGCCGUGUUGCGAGCCUUUUGAAUUGUCGUGAAUUGAUUUACACUUCGGGUAAGCUGGGACAAGAAAUGGAAUUUCAACUUUUGCAUUGAAGUUGUUUGUUUUUCUUCUGUGGUUCUCGUUUACUUGACCUGCAUGAAACAACACAGUAUGAACGUUGACAUGUGCUUCAGUCAUCCGCAGUGACAUUAUUAAGUGCAGGUCGUGACAGAGAAGACAAACGUACUUUGGCAACAAAACGUCCAACGGUAGGAGAACUGCGAAAAUACGUGACAGAAAACUUAUAUUAAAUUCCAUACCAGAACUAUUUGAUAUACAGAUCGCGUUUAUCAGUUUAUUAUCAAGAGUUAUUAAGUGCUCAUAUGAUUUUUAAAAUUAUUCUCGAGUGAAAGCGCCUUUCUGAAUAAUGGUACGUCCUAUAAAACCCCACUAGAGAGUGCUGUGGUACAAUUUUAAGGACAACCAUCACUAAGCUAUUCCAAUUCUUUAUGAAAGCUAUUCAUAAGUAAAUGGUUUUGUGUUUGUGAAUUAUGUAAAAAGCCAUGUACUAAUGUUCUGAAAGUCCUAAGCCAUUAAAUACAAAUAUACACAUCAGCCAACUUUAAUAAGUGCCUUCAAAUUUGCCUUCAAAUGGACCAAGCAGCCAAGAACGUCCAAGCACAGAUAUAAUCUUUAAAUUAUGUUUUUUUUUUAUUAUAUCCCAGAAAAGAUAAGAGGUUAUUUCAAAAAUACACAAUAAUAGAAAUAAGCUAUUUUAAGAACUAUGUAGGCCUAUAAAAGAGGUAAACUAAACAGACUUCUACUCAAAAAAUAUCAUAACUCAACAAACUGACCUAUUUAGUAACUGAAUAAACCUUCUUUUAGCAUCAGAUUUUGUUUUGGGGUAUUUCGGUGGGCCUAUGUGAAAUGUAGCUUCAGUUUCCUGUUCUUAACUUAUGUGGUCUGCUGCUGCUGUAGCUCAUCUGCUUCAAGUUUCAACCUGCUGUGCUCUUCUGCAUACCUUGGCUAUAAUGAGUGGCUAUUUGAAUUACUGUUGUCUUCCUAUCAACUCAAAGCAGUCUGUCCAUUCUUCUUUGACCUCUGACAUCAAGUAGACAUUUUCACCCAGAGAAACUCAAGACUUUCAGUCUGCCUUGAAGCAUUCCAAGGGUGUAUAGUAUACCCAGAACAUGGUUGAGACACAUCUCUCGGCUGGCCUGGGAACAACUCAGCGUUUCUCCGGAUAAGCUGAAGAAGGUGGCUGGGGAGGGGGAAGUUUGUGCUCUCUGCUUAGGCUACUGUCCCCACAACUUGACCCUGACUAAGCAGAAGAGGAUGGAUGGACGAACAGAUGGAAAAAUAUUCUCUGCAAACUCCAGAGAAACCCGAGAGAUUGUUGUGUGGAAAAAUCCCAGUAAAUCCCAGUAGGAAAGAUAAAGCCAUAAAGAAUGUCUGAUAUAAAAUAUUACAUGUCACUGUCUGUGACUGUGGGUGUCAUGUUGGUGGGCCUGCUCUACUCCAUCUGUUUAGCCUGUCAGUGGAUUUAUGGUUGGCCUGACAAGCCUGGGUAUAAGAAGUACAUAGAAGCUCUUAAUCCAAGGCGAAUAUAUCGUCUGACCCUCACUACACUGGAUCUUCUCAAAUACCUGCAGUAUUGGAAAGUUUACUUUCAGCUGAAGUCAUGGUAUAACGAUGAGAGGAAUCUAAAGUAUUAUGAAAAGGGCAUCACGUUUGGCCGCAGAGGCAACAAGCUGGACUUAUACCACCCUCCAAAUGUAAGGAAGCUGCCAUCACCGGCGGUAGUAUUUGUCUACGGAGGUGCAUGGGGCACAGGAGAAAGGUCCACUUACUGUUUACUGGGGAGUCGGAUGGCUGAAGAACUGAAAGCAACUGUAAUUUGUCCUGAUUACUGCACAUAUCCAAAGGGGAAUGUUUUAGGGAUGGUCCAAGAUAUCACUGACUGCUUGAUUUGGGCCCACCAGAAUGGAGAGAAAUUCAACUUUGACAAAGAUAACAUUGUAUUAAUUGGGCAUUCAGCAGGUGCACAUUUGUGUACACUCACCACACUGUUUCUUGUUGAUACAAGAGAGGAGCUUUCCAUAGAGCCAGGCAAGCAGCAGGAAGUCUUGCUCUCGAUAAGAGGAAUUAUUGGUCUGAGCGGCGUCUACAACAUCGUGGACCAUUAUGAGCAUGAACAGAAACGAGGAGUUGAACGAGUGUCCCCCAUGCACAAAGCGAUGAAUGGUGUGGAAAACCUUCCAUACUACUCACCAACACACUUACUAAAGAAGCUCAGCCAGGACAAAGUCAACAGAUUGCCUCCAUUCGCUUUGCUCCAUGGGACCAAUGACAUUAUGGUUCCUGCUGAAUCUACCAUAAGAUUCUCUGAGCUUCUCACUUUGCGCUCUGUUAAGAUGUCAUUGAAUGUUCUUCAUGGAGUCGCCCACACUGAGACUGCUGUUGAUCUCAUGGUGUUAAACAGACGCCUCUACCGUCCAAUCUACAGAUACAUCAAAGAAGAGUUUAGAAAAUUUCUGGGUACCUGCUGACUGCAUGUGAUUAGAAAAGUAUUCACACAGCUCCAGUAUGUGCUGAAUUGUACUGUACUGUAAAUUAAAAUCAACCAUUUAAUUAUGAGUUUGACUUGAUUCUCUGAAGCUCUGAUUUUAUAAAACUAAUAUGAUAUUUUUAACAGUACUUUAAUUAUUUUGGAGAGAUGCUCUUUAUAGUGCUGUCAAAUAAGUAAUCACAAAGUGAAAUCAAUUAUAGAACAGUAGGGUUUAUUAGGAAGCUACACACAAUAUUCAAAUCCAG
This is a long non-coding RNA of Astatotilapia calliptera (eastern happy), 3147 nucleotides long. The record is from Ensembl. NCBI's taxonomy places the organism in Eukaryota, Metazoa, Chordata, Actinopteri, Cichliformes, Cichlidae.